This 497-nucleotide ribosomal RNA is filed under the name uncultured bacterium. RNAcentral's name for it is "partial 16S ribosomal RNA". It matches the Rfam family "Bacterial small subunit ribosomal RNA", at positions 28 to 507 of the family's 1533-position model. The record is from RNAcentral.
GAUGAACGCUGGCGGCGUGCCUAAUACAUGCAAGUCGAGCGAACAGAUAAGGAGCUUGCUCCCUUGACGUUAGCGGCGGACGGGUGAGUAACACGUGGGUAACCUACCUAUAAGACUGGAAUAACUCCGGGAAACCGGGGCUAAUGCCGGAUAACAUUUAGAACCGCAUGGUUCUAAAGUGAAAGAUGGUUUUGCUAUCACUUAUAGAUGGACCCGCGCCGUAUUAGCUAGUUGGUAAGGUAACGGCUUACCAAGGCAACGAUACGUAGCCGACCUGAGAGGGUGAUCGGCCACACUGGAACUGAGACACGGUCCAGACUCCUACGGGAGGCAGCAGUAGGGAAUCUUCCGCAAAGGGCGAAAGCCUGACGGAGCAACGCCGCGUGAGUGAUGAAGGUCUUCGGAUCGUAAAACUCUGUUAUUAGGGAAGAACAAAUGUGUAAGUAACUGUGCACGUCUUGACGGUACCUAAUCAGAAAGCCACGGCUAACUACGUG